GUUUGACCUCAAAUCAGGUAGGAUUACCCGCUGAACUUAAGCAUAUCAAUAAGCGGAGGAAAAGAAACCAACAGGGAUUGCCUUAGUAACGGCGAGUGAAGCGGCAAAAGCUCAAAUUUGAAAUCUGGCACCUUCGGUGUCCGAGUUGUAAUUUGAAGAAGGUAACCUUGGGGUUGGCUCUUGUCUAUGUUUCUUGGAACAGAACGUCACAGAGGGUGAGAAUCCCGUGCGAUGAGAUGCCCAAUUCUAUGUAAGGUGCUUUCGAAGAGUCGAGUUGUUUGGGAAUGCAGCUCUAAGUGGGUGGUAAAUUCCAUCUAAAGCUAAAUAUUGGCGAGAGACCGAUAG
This 345-nucleotide ribosomal RNA is filed under the name Suzukiozyma palmioleophila. RNAcentral describes it as "eukaryotic LSU rRNA". It matches the Rfam family "Eukaryotic large subunit ribosomal RNA", at positions 1 to 340 of the family's 3401-position model. The record is from RNAcentral. Lineage: Eukaryota; Fungi; Ascomycota; Pichiomycetes; Serinales; Debaryomycetaceae.